UACGAAGGGGGCUAGCGUUGUUCGGAAUCACUGGGCGUAAAGCGCACGCAGGCGGAUCGAUAAGUCGGGGGUGAAAGCCCGGGGCUCAACCUCGGAAUUGCCUUCGAUACUGUCGGUCUCGAGUCCGGGAGAGGUGAGUGGAAUUCCUAGUGUAGAGGUGAAAUUCGUAGAUAUUAGGAAGAACACCAGUGGCGAAGGCGGCUUUCUGGACUGUAACUGACGCUGAGGCAAGAAAGCGUGGGGAGCAAACAGG
Molecule: ribosomal RNA, 253 nt
Filed under: uncultured bacterium
Lineage: Bacteria
Description: partial 16S ribosomal RNA
Rfam family: Bacterial small subunit ribosomal RNA
Source: RNAcentral